AUUCCAGCUCCAAUAGCGUAUAUUAAAGUUGUUGCGGUUAAAAAGCUCGUAGUUGGAUUUCUGCUGAGGACGACCGGUCCGCCCUCUGGGUGAGUAUCUGGCUCGGCCUUGGCAUCUUCUUGGGGAACGUAACUGCACUUGACUGUGUGGUGCGGUAUCCAGGACUUUUACUUUGAGGAAAUUAGAGUGUUUCAAGCAGGCGCACGCCUUGAAUACAUUAGCAUGGAAUAAUAAGAUAGGACCUUGGUUCUAUUUUGUUGGUUUCUAGAGCUGAGGUAAUGAUUAAUAGGGAUAGUUGGGGGCAUUCGUAUUUAAUUGUCAGAGGUGGAAUUCUCAGAUUUGUUAAAGACUAACUUAUGCGAAAGCAUUUGCCAAGGAUGCUUUCAUCG
This 389-nucleotide ribosomal RNA is filed under the name Gymnodiniaceae sp. RNAcentral describes it as "partial small subunit ribosomal RNA". It matches the Rfam family "Eukaryotic small subunit ribosomal RNA", at positions 582 to 975 of the family's 1831-position model. Lineage: Eukaryota; Dinophyceae; Gymnodiniales; Gymnodiniaceae. The record is from RNAcentral.